This is an RNA transcript of Hypomesus transpacificus, 3432 nucleotides long. It is a transcript of the gene named family with sequence similarity 174 member C, with no coding region annotated. The record is from RefSeq and is a predicted model, not a curated record. The transcript has 3 exons. Lineage: Eukaryota; Metazoa; Chordata; Actinopteri; Osmeriformes; Osmeridae.
ACGUCACACCAGGAACUUGGAACUUUUUCACCAGCUGUCUAGCUUAUCGUGAAAGCUGCCGACUAGAAUCAACAGUAACCAGCUUCGAAUACGUUGUGUUUUAUGAGGAUCCACAUGGUCAUCUGCUGAUAUAUAGAUUGAGACAACAAGUGUUGUGAAGCUGAUAUUAAAAAUGAUAUUUCAAUUAAUCUUGAGGUUGGUCGUACCAUCGAUGUGGGCUUUUUUGGUGAUGGCUGAAACGACGGAACCCACAUCUGCAGUUGUAUCAACAGUGACUAUUACCAGCUCCAACAAGCAACCUGUUACGAAUUUUACCGCACCUAACUCCACUUCUCAUCGUGAAAUUUUUAACACCGGCAUGAACGCGGAUAGUUCGAUGAUUCAACGGGCCUUAUACGUCCUCAUUGGGAUCAGCGUGAUAGGAGUGCUGUAUUUCCUUGUCAGAGCUGUAAGGCUGAAGAAGCCAACCCAGAGGAAGAAAUAUGGCUUGCUGUCUAAUUAUGAUGACAAUGUGGAGAUGGCUGAUAUGGAAAGCGAUGAAGACGAUACAGUGUAUGACGCCCGGACCCUGAGAAGAUGAGUCCUGACUUUUUGCGGUGUACCUGCUGUGGUGCACAUCGGACGAAAUUAAACAUUCCUUUGGCUUAACUUUCAACGUAGGUUGCAAAUCUAUGUUUUCCAUAUUCUCAUGGACUUGAAAUUAAGAAAACUGGCUCUGAAUCUGCGUUGUCUUGAGAAGAACAUUGGAGAACCUGCUUGUACUGGGAGAUUUUGUGAUUGUAUCCAAAUAAACUAACAUAAAUAGGAUUAGUAAAAGGACCAAACCAGCUGGACAGAUUUAUAUUGCCAAAGAUACUUUGGAGAAAGCAAAAGUAUAAUUAUUUUUCUAAUCUACGUAAACGUACAUUUUUAUGAAAUGGACCAUCUGUGUCAAUCAUUCCCGUUGCCAUGACGAGCUCCAUGAAUGUUGUAACAAGUUCUGUCUUCUAGAUUACUUAUUCAGUUACCUUAAUGGAUGUGGCCUUUCCCAGGUUUCUUUCUCUAGGUCACCUGAAAUUAUCCAUAGUAAUAUCAUGCUGUUCAAUGCUAUUUUACGAACAGCGAUAUAAUUGUGCAUGAACUACUGUAAACUGAACACCAAGAAUACUAUUUUGUGGGCCAGCCAAUGUGAUACCACCUGCUUGAACUAUACACAAGCAGACAGUAUGUACUACAUCUGGUAAAAGAAGAUGGGGUGAGCAAUAAACUGGGAAAUGCACAUACUAAUUGUGAUAGUCUUGGAGCCAAAAACUUAUUGACAAUCUUUGACAGUAAAGAAUGUGCCCCAUACUGUUAAUUUCUUAAACCACAAGCUUUUCCUUGUUUUUUUCUCUCUCUUUUUUUUUUAACCAAACAGUUUAAUUACUUAUUUCGCUACAGCCGUCACGUUAAUGCUAUUAAUCUAAUUUAAACUUACAGUAAGGUUAAUUUUGAGUGUUCUUGUCAAAUAUUCUAGCUCACAAAUCCUGUUGAAAUGUAUUUACAUAUCUUGUAAUUCCCUUUAGUCCAAGGACAAUGUUGUGCCUUGGUUGGAGACUCAUUAAGGUUAUUAUUAUUAUUAUUUUGUUUGUUAUUGCUGCUGUGGCCGAGCCCUACAUUUUUCUGAAUUUUAGUUGUUGCAAACAAAUAUAAGCUUUAAUCUUUUGAUUGACUUAUUCUGUCUGUUUUAUUUAAACUUUUGGUCAAUUAUUAAUUGAGGCUAUUUAUUUUCUAUAUACCAUGUUUUGUCUACAUUUUUGCCUUGGUUAAGCCUGUUAUCAUUGUGACUUAAAUUUUUUAUUUUGAUGGUGGUUUAUAUCUAGAUCCAACAUUUUCGAAACUGUUUAAUUUUGUGAAAUGAAGUACGCUGAUCAGAAACAUUUUAUAAAGUUUGUCUGGAAUGUGUAUGCUAUUACAGUUUACCCAUUAAUUCACAGAGUCCAAGAGAAUGACCUAACAGCUCUUCCUCUAUAUCUUGAAACAUGGCUAAUUGUUAUUAAUUGUCUCAGGAGGCUAACUGUAUUGAUGAGAGAACGGGUUUUUCCUGUGGCGGUAAAUCAAAUGAGACAUGCCAAGACAUAUUACUUCAUCAACCCUCUCCUUAUUGGACCCACUCCUGUGGAGAAUAUGCAAAUCUCCUCCCACGAGUCUGUUCUGUAUUUACGUCUAUUGAAAAUUGAUACUGCCCUUUAAAUAAUGUUAAACUCUGUCUCUGACAUUUUGCUUUCGUUCAGUCAAGACUGCAGUAACAGCAGCAUUAAUCCUUGGACCUGCGACUGGUUGAAUCAAGGACAUGCAGGGCCCCACAGUUUGGUUUUAGGUCCAUUCAGUCUCGGCCUAAAGCAAGAUGCAAAAUACACUUCCAUGUUUGUUUGUAUUUGAACAUGAAGCAAAAUUUAGACUGAUGUUGAUAGUAAUCUGGAUCUGCCAUCAGUGUCUGUACCGUAGUACCACUUUCUGCGUUUCCUUGAAAGCUUUAAAACAUAGUGUGGAUGUAAUCUGUAAUAGGGCAAGUCAAUUGCUCUGGUCUGGGGGUUGGGGACCCUAACUCCCAACUAGUAUUAUACUUUCAAAAUGAUUUAUUAUGCAAAUGAAUGAGUAUUCCACCCUGACUCUCAUAGGGUAGAAUGUUGUUCUUCCACUUUGCACAUUCCAUGCAUGUCAGUUGGAUGUCAACCUGCCAAGAGGAAAUGGUUUUAUGCUCCAAUGUCAUUCAUUAAUAUUCGAGUAGGAGGUCAUCAAUAUUUUGGAGACUAUAGAUAGGAAUCAUGUUACAUCUGAGAAUCACUUCUGUAAACAUUUGAACCUGAGGUUGGUUUCAGAAUGCAAGUUGUUCUUUUUUCCACAUACACUCUUGAUUUGUUAUGACGGAUGUUUAUUCAUUGAUUGCGAUGGUUUAAAGAGUUGUCUGAGCUUUUUGAAAUCACCUGUCCACUAUGAGCUUUUCUUCUUCUUCCCCCCCUCCCCCAUAAUCACCAUGUGUCUUUCACCACGUUUUGCCUUUUGUAUAUAAACUGUAUGUUUCAGCAAUACAAAUGUAGUUGUUGUGUAUUAUACAGGAGACUGUCGAUCACGAUGCACUUAACUACAGAUCCAUUAUAAUUUAUUUCAUUCCUAAUUCAUACUCACUCAUAAAAGGAAUCUAGUCUGAAUAGGUGUAAGCACUAGCAUGAGAGGAAUGCAAGGGGCCACACAAUAAACCUAUCAGAAGCUGUAGGUAGGUUGUGAGGGUCAAUUCGAUGUAUUAUUAUUUUUUGUUGUUGUGAUUUGACUGCUGAAAUGAAGGCUUGUGAGUGGUGAGUGAAUGUUGUGUGUUGAACUUCUGUGUUUGGUGGUUGGACCUAGAUUCACGGACCAGCUGCAAUAGCUUCCUUUGUUUUCAUUCUGUUUUCAAAUAAAACAAAUAUGUCGUAA